RNAcentral lists this ribosomal RNA (1435 nucleotides) under metagenome. RNAcentral's name for it is "bacterial LSU rRNA". It matches the Rfam family "Bacterial large subunit ribosomal RNA", at positions 1511 to 2925 of the family's 2925-position model. The record is from RNAcentral.
CUUAAGCGCGUAGGGAGAGGUCCAGGCAAAUCCGGCCCUCAUACAUCCUGAGACGCAAUGCCGAGCCGUUUAAGGCGAAGUCACUAAUCCCAUGCUGCCAAGAAAAGCCUCUAGCGAGCUUGCACGGUACCCGUACCCCAAACCGACACAGGUGGGCAGGUAGAGAAUACCAAGGCGAUCGGGAGAACUGUGGUUAAGGAACUCGGCAAAAUGCCUCCGUAACUUCGGGAGAAGGAGGACCCCAUCAGGGUGAAGGACCUCGCGUCCGGAGCUCGAAGGGGUGGCACAGACCAGGGGAAAGCGACUGUUUACUAAAAGCACAGCAGCGUGCGAAGUCGUAAGACGAUGUAUACGCUGUGACGCCUGCCCAAUGCCGGAAGGUUAAAGGGAAAGGUUAGCCCGCAAGGGCGAAGCUUUGAACUGAAGCCCCGGUGAAUGGCGGCCGUAACUAUAACGGUCCUAAGGUAGCGAAAUUCCUUGUCGGGUAAGUUCCGACCUGCACGAAUGGCGUAACGACUUUCCUACUGUCUCAACCACAGACCCGGCGAAAUUGAAGUACGAGUAAAGAUGCUCGUUAGCUGCAGAAGGACGGAAAGACCCCGUAGACCUUUACUAUAGCUUGAUGUUGAGUUUUGUUAUGUGUUGUGUAGGAUAGGUGGGAGACUUGGAAGCAUUGGCGCCAGCCAGUGUGGAGUCAACCUUGAAAUACCACCCUGCUCAUGACGGAGCUCUAACCCACGUCCCUGAUCGGGAUGGGGAACAGCGUCUGGAGGGUAGUUUGACUGGGGCGGUCGCCUCCUAAAGAGUAACGGAGGCGCCCAAAGGUUCCCUCAGGCUGGUUGGCAAUCAGCCGUCGAGUGCAAUGGCACAAGGGAGCUUGACUGCGAGACCUACAAGUCAAGCAGGUGCGAAAGCAGGGCAUAGUGAUCCGGCGGUUGCGUGUGGAAGCGCCGUCGCUCAACGGAUAAAAGGUACCCCGGGGAUAACAGGCUCAUCUUCCCCAAGAGUCCAUAUCGACGGGAAGGUUUGGCACCUCGAUGUCGGCUCAUCGCAUCCUGGGGCUGAAGCAGGUCCCAAGGGUUGGGCUGUUCGCCCAUUAAAGCGGUACGCGAGCUGGGUUUAGAACGUCGUGAGACAGUUCGGUCCCUAUCCUCUGCAGCCGGAAGGAACUUGAGAAAAUCUGUCCCUAGUACGAGAGGACCGGGAUGGACGCAGCUCUCGUGUGCCAGUUGUCCUGCCAAGGGCACUGCUGGUUAGCGACCUGCGGAAGGGAUAAGCGCUGAAAGCAUCUAAGUGCGAAGCCCAUUUCUAGAUGAGGUUCCUCACUGGGUUAACCAGGUAAGGCCCGUGAUAGACCAACACGUUGAUAGGCCGGAAGUGUAAGCGUGGUAACACGUUCAGCUGACCGGUACUAAUCGGCCGAGGGCUUGGAUUG